GGAGAGACAGAUGAGAGGAGUCUGCCUCAUUUGCCCAAGACAAACCACAACAACAUAAUGAAGGCCAGCCUAACUAGUCUCAUUUUCAAUGGGGUGCUCGCUACACUACUCAAGAUUAAAAUAGAGAGCCAAAAGAAGGAAUUAUGAAAUCAGGACAAACUAAAGUGAAUGUAGACAAUAAGGCAAGGACCAAGGAAAGCCCGGACACCAGUUUUAUUGCAUGCACUGGAUGACAUCGAGCUGUGGAACUCCCAGGCCCUCCCCACAGACACAUUCACCAUUUGUUUCACAACUGGAGGACCAGUGCUCUGCAUCACUCUGAUACCCAAGGAUCCUUGCGACAGAAUUCAGACAGAGGAUGUGUGUCACAAGCAAACAAGCCCAAGAAUGGGCCGACUGCUCCCGGGAGGCUGUCUGGUUAUAGCAUCCUGAGCUGCGUAUGGCUGAGAUUUCCCUUGCUCUGUGUUAAAGGGGUUAUUAAAAAAUAUGGCCUGUGUAGUAGGGGCCUCAGAGCACAGCGAAUGUCAUGUGUCCUGCAACACCCAGGUGAAAUGGAAGUCUUUCUGUGGUCCGUAUGUGCUGGCCUCCUCAAAGUUUGGAAAGAACAGGUCUCUGAGGAUGGUUGAGAAGAAUGAAAAAAAAAAAACAAAACAUCAGCUCUAGAAAAUGUCCCUUUAUGCCCUAAAUGACCUUAUGGAAAUGACGAAAUAGCUCUCGAGAGUAUCAUUUGCUGGUUUUCUUUUUUUUCUCCUAACCUCUUUGCAUUAAACUAACGCU
This is a long non-coding RNA of Chinchilla lanigera (long-tailed chinchilla), 777 nucleotides long. Ensembl lists it as uncharacterized. The record is from Ensembl. Lineage: Eukaryota; Metazoa; Chordata; Mammalia; Rodentia; Chinchillidae.